AUGAAUAUGUUCCAAAAAAAAUACUAUGCCUUAGUGCAAAAUAUUAAGUUGAUAAGGAAGUUCAACUGGAAUGCAUUCACUUCACCCUUUUGCAAGUACGUUCUAUUUAUUAAUUUCAACACUUUUGUUAUAAAAUGUCACGGAAGAACAUGUAAUUUAAUUAGUUUAUGUGUUUUGCAGUACCUAUACUGGGAGAAGGUGCAACCAAUCACCGGUCCAAAAUAUGAUCCGUUGGCAUUGUUGAGCCCGCUGAUGAGGAACUGGACGAAAGAUAUGGCUGUGAGAAGAGACAAAUACGACUAUGAAUAUGGUCGUGGUGUUGGGAUGAUCGAUGACAACAUUACAGAGGAGUAUAGGCUGGAAAAAAUUGCGGAAGAAGAAGCUCAAAAAACCAAGAAAGCUAGUAGCAAAAAAUCUAACGUUACUGGAACGAGGAACGAGGGCAGUACCUCGGAGGCUUCGAGCCAGAAGCCUACUAUGGACCGGAUUUUGAGUGAGAUGAAUGAGCUUCCGAAGGAAAUGCUUCGUUUGCCAGAGUUAUGCGCACAGAGGAUGAUUGAGAAACUGAACAAAACCGGCGUCUCCUACAAACCCAGUAACCUGGAAGAGUGA
Molecule: ribosomal RNA, 612 nt
Filed under: Triticum aestivum (bread wheat)
Lineage: Eukaryota; Viridiplantae; Streptophyta; Magnoliopsida; Poales; Poaceae
Description: partial small subunit ribosomal RNA
Source: RNAcentral